AGAACCCUUCUAUGUUGGUGAUUGUCUUAUGUUUUGAUCCAACAGAUUAGUUUCGGGAGGUCCACGUCGAACGGAUGAGUGGAGGCCGCUGAGCUUGCUCGUGGCGGAACCACAGAGGCCGAAGCAGACCACCCACCUGCGCGAGCAGGUUCAAAACUUUGGUGACACGGCGGUGCGGGGUUUUU
This 185-nucleotide non-coding RNA is filed under the name Tumebacillus amylolyticus. RNAcentral's name for it is "6S RNA". It matches the Rfam family "6S / SsrS RNA". Rfam says of the family: E. coli 6S RNA was the first non coding RNA to be sequenced, but its function was unknown until recently. Lineage: Bacteria; Bacillati; Bacillota; Bacilli; Caryophanales; Alicyclobacillaceae. The record is from RNAcentral.